AUGUACAGCCUUGGGAAGUGAUCUCAUUUUCUGAAAACCAUAGGUCUGUGUAACAAUUACAGUACAGUCUCUAAACUUGCAUUUACGGUCGGGAAAAGGGAAAAGUUUUUAGGCUAUGCAGAUGCCAAUAAUCAGACUGUAGUUAUGUUUUAGGGCAUCCUGCUACCCUUUUCAAAACAUGAACUUGAGGGUUCUGAAUUGUUAAAAAUACUGACCGCAAGAGCUUAUUUUCUAGAUAAUUUUCUCUGUAUUGGAAUAUAUUCCACUUGCCAUUUGGAGAGGGAAAAAUGCAAGAGCAGAAGCACUUCUGAACCUUGGUCCACAUUAUUGAAGACCACUGUUGUGAAAGCAACUGUAAAGAGAUCAUUUAAAGUCGAGCAGUGAUACUGCUCACCAUGUCA
Molecule: long non-coding RNA, 401 nt
Organism: Pipra filicauda (Wire-tailed manakin)
Lineage: Eukaryota; Metazoa; Chordata; Aves; Passeriformes; Pipridae
Exons: 2
Source: RefSeq, a predicted model, not a curated record